ACUAACUGGAGGACCGAACCGACUAAUGUUGAAAAAUUAGCGGAUGACCUGUGGCUGGGGGUGAAAGGCCAAUCAAACCGGGAGAUAGCUGGUUCUCCCCGAAAGCUAUUUAGGUAGCGCCUCGUGAAUUCAUCUCCGGGGGUAGAGCACUGUUUCGGCUAGGGGGCCAUCCCGGCUUACCAACCCGAUGCAAACUGCGAAUACCGGAGAAUGUUAUCACGGGAGACACACGGCGGGUGCUAACGUCCGUCGUGAAGAGGGAAACAACCCAGACCGCCAGCUAAGGUCCCAAAGUCAUGGUUAAGUGGGAAACGAUGUGGGAAGGCCCAGACAGCCAGGAUGUUGGCUUAGAAGCAGCCAUCAUUUAAAGAAAGCGUAAUAGCUCACUGGUCGAGUCGGCCUGCGCGGAAGAUGUAACGGGGCUAAACCAUGCACCGAAGCUGCGGCAGCG
This 451-nucleotide ribosomal RNA is filed under the name Salmonella enterica subsp. enterica serovar Enteritidis. RNAcentral's name for it is "partial 23S ribosomal RNA". It matches the Rfam family "Bacterial large subunit ribosomal RNA", at positions 761 to 1210 of the family's 2925-position model. Lineage: Bacteria; Pseudomonadati; Pseudomonadota; Gammaproteobacteria; Enterobacterales; Enterobacteriaceae. The record is from RNAcentral.